This 240-nucleotide ribosomal RNA is filed under the name uncultured bacterium. Its description in RNAcentral is "partial 16S ribosomal RNA". It matches the Rfam family "Bacterial small subunit ribosomal RNA", at positions 524 to 763 of the family's 1533-position model. The record is from RNAcentral.
UACGUAGGUGGCAAGCGUUAUCCGGAUUUAUUGGGUGUAAAGGGCGUGUAGGCGGGAAAGCAAGUCAGAUGUGAAAACUAUGGGCUCAACCCAUAGCCUGCAUUUGAAACUGUUUUUCUUGAGUGCUGGAGAGGCAAUCGGAAUUCCGUGUGUAGCGGUGAAAUGCGUAGAUAUACGGAGGAACACCAGUGGCGAAGGCGGAUUGCUGGACAGUAACUGACGCUGAGGCGCGAAAGCGUG